AUACGUAGGGUGCAAGCGUUAAUCGGAAUUACUGGGCGUAAAGCGUGCGCAGGCGGUUUUGUAAGACAGAGGUGAAAUCCCCGGGCUCAACCUGGGAACUGCCUUUGAGACUGCAAGGCUAGAGUAAGGCAGAGGGGGAUGGAAUUCCGCGUGUAGCAGUGAAAUGCGUAGAUAUGCGGGGGAACACCGAGGGCGAAGGCAUGUCCCUGGGCCUUUACGGCCGCUCAUGCCCGAAAGAGUGGGGUGCAAACGGGAUUUGAUACCCUGGUAGUCCGCGCCCUAAACGAUGUCCACUGGUUGUUUGGUCUUCAUUGUCUCAGUAACGAAGCUAACGCGUGAAGUUGACCGCCUGGGGAGUACGGCCGCAAGGUUGAAACUCAAAUUAAUUGACGGGG
Molecule: ribosomal RNA, 395 nt
Filed under: uncultured bacterium
Lineage: Bacteria
Description: partial 16S ribosomal RNA
Rfam family: Bacterial small subunit ribosomal RNA
Source: RNAcentral